AGUGAACGCUGGCGGUAGGCCUAACACAUGCAAGUCGAACGGCAGCACAGUAAGAGCUUGCUCUUACGGGUGGCGAGUGGCGGACGGGUGAGGAAUACAUCGGAAUCUACUUUUUCGUGGGGGAUAACGUAGGGAAACUUACGCUAAUACCGCAUACGACCUACGGGUGAAAGCAGGGGAUCUUCGGACCUUGCGCGAUUGAAUGAGCCGAUGUCGGAUUAGCUAGUUGGCGGGGUAAAGGCCCACCAAGGCGACGAUCCGUAGCUGGUCUGAGAGGAUGAUAAGACACACUGGAACUGAGACACGGUCCAGACUCCUACGGGAGGCAGCAGUGGGGAAUAUUGGACAAGGGGCGCAAGCCUGAUCCAGCCAUACCGCGUGGGUGAAGAAGGCCUUCGGGUUGUAAAGCCCUUUUGUGGGGAAAGAAAAGCAGCAGGUUAAUACCCCGCUGUUCUGACGGUACCAAAAGAAUAAGCACCGGCUAACUUCGUG
This 492-nucleotide ribosomal RNA is filed under the name uncultured bacterium. RNAcentral describes it as "partial 16S ribosomal RNA". It matches the Rfam family "Bacterial small subunit ribosomal RNA", at positions 29 to 507 of the family's 1533-position model. The record is from RNAcentral.